RNAcentral lists this long non-coding RNA (466 nucleotides) under Neogobius melanostomus (round goby). RNAcentral's name for it is "lncRNA (ENSNMLG00000011477.1)". Lineage: Eukaryota; Metazoa; Chordata; Actinopteri; Gobiiformes; Gobiidae. The record is from RNAcentral.
UUUCUUCCAGCUCGUUGUGUUUCCCUCCUCAUCGUUGUGUUUUCCUCCCAGAGUCGUUUGUGUUUCCUCCUCAGAGUCGUUUGUGUUUCUUCUUCCUCAGUCUUUGUGUUCCUCCAGUCGUUUGUGCUUUUUUCCCUCAGUCGUUGUGUUUCCUCCUCAGCGUUGUUGUUCUUCCCAGUCGUUGUGUUUUCCUCUCAUCGUUGUGUUGUCCAUCCUCAGAUCGUUUGGUGGUUUCCUUCCCUCAGUCGUUUGUGUUUCCUCCUCAGAGUCGUUUUGUGUUUCCUCCUCAGUCGUUUGUUUCUUCCUCAAGAGUCGUUUGUGUUUCCUCUUCAGUCGUUUGUGUUUCCUCCUCAGUCGUUUGUGUUUCCUCUUCAGUCGUUUGUGUUUCCUCCUCAGUCGUUUGUGUUGCCUCCUCAGUCGUUUUGUUGCUCCCAGUCGUGUUGUGUUCUCCUCAGUCGUUUGUGUU